GACGAACGCUGGCGGCGUGCUUAACACAUGCAAGUCGAACGGAAAGGCCUUGAAUUUGUGUUCUGCCCGAGUGGGGAACGGGUGGGUAAGUCGUGAGUAACCUGCCCUCGCUUUUGGGGUAACUACAGGAAACUGAGGCUAAUUCAGGAUAGGUGCUCCUGCUGCAUGGUGGGGGGUGGAAAGUUACGGCGGUUGGGGCUGGUCUGGCGGCACUGCAGCUUGUGGGUGGGGUAGUGGAUUACGAAGGAUUGGAAGAGUAGCCGGCCUGAGAGGGUGACCGGCCACAGUGGGACAGAGAUAGGGCCCAGACUCCUACGGGAGGCAGCAGUGGGGAAUAUUGCGCAAUGGGCGGAAGCCUGAAUCAGCAACGCCGCGUGCGGGAUGACGGCCUUCGGGUUGUAAACCGCUUUCGGCGGUGACUAAGCGUGAUUGACGGUAAUGGGUAAAGAAGCACCGGCUAACUACGUG
This 468-nucleotide ribosomal RNA is filed under the name uncultured bacterium. RNAcentral's name for it is "partial 16S ribosomal RNA". It matches the Rfam family "Bacterial small subunit ribosomal RNA", at positions 28 to 507 of the family's 1533-position model. The record is from RNAcentral.